Molecule: long non-coding RNA, 427 nt
Filed under: Homo sapiens (human)
Lineage: Eukaryota; Metazoa; Chordata; Mammalia; Primates; Hominidae
Description: HSALNT0173651
Source: RNAcentral
AGCCCAUAAAACCAAAUCACGCAAGAAAACUUAAUGGAAGGAGGAAGAUCAUGAGGAAAUUAGAACUUUUAUAAAAGAAAAGCAAAAGUCCAAAGAUAGUUUUUGACAUUCAAACAGCAUACUGCCAUCGAACGUGGAAGUCAGGAUGACACAGUCAUGAUCUAUGGUUUCUCCAAAAGCCUGUAGCUCCCACUUACUGUAUCAAGAGUUUAACUUCAGGAUUGACCUGGAGAAAAACCAUCACUCCUGGGCCAGAGGGGAUCUGGGGCACAAGACAGAGAAAGCCAGAAAACUAGCACAGCAUGUCUUGAUUCUCUCUACAGGCUUCACUUUGGGUAUCUUAGUUAAACUGGGGAAACAGUGAGGACACUGCCCAUUGUCCCCUUUUGAGCUACCCUUGCUACUCCAAUCUGAGGCACAGCCAGCC